CACUGACACACACAACAAUCUUCAUCAACAUGACCUUCAUCAUCAUCUUCAUCUGGACUCUCACAGCGUUUGCUCAAGAGAGUAGAGGACAGAUCAGCGUCACUCAGAGUCCCUCAACGACAGCAGCUCAACCAGAAGAAACUGUCAAAAUCAACUGUAGAACCAGCAGAGAUGUGCACAGACGGAGUGAUGGGGAUGAAGAGUUAGCCUGGUACUUACAGAAACCUGGAGAAGCUCCUAAACUCCUGAUUUAUUUAGCAAAAAAACUUUACACCGGAACGCCAUCUAGAUUCAGUGGCAGUGGAUCUAAGACUGAUUUCACUCUGACCAUCAGUGGAGUCCAGACUGAAGAUGCUGGACAUUAUUACUGUCAGAGUGUACACUAUAUCAGUAGUAGCUGGGUGUUCACACAGUGAUAAAGAGUCGUACAAAAACCUCCGUCAGUCAGAGUCACAGUGAUGAACUGAUGCUGCAGCUGCUCAAACACUAUC
Molecule: non-coding RNA, 491 nt
Organism: Sinocyclocheilus rhinocerous
Lineage: Eukaryota; Metazoa; Chordata; Actinopteri; Cypriniformes; Cyprinidae
Source: the annotation of a RefSeq genome assembly